Psammomys obesus (fat sand rat) is the source of this 532-nucleotide long non-coding RNA. RefSeq lists it as uncharacterized. The transcript has 4 exons. The record is from RefSeq and is a predicted model, not a curated record. NCBI's taxonomy places the organism in Eukaryota, Metazoa, Chordata, Mammalia, Rodentia, Muridae.
CAGCAGCAGCACCCGCAGCAGCACACUCUUAAUGAUCCCCUCAGAGGCAUCUGCAGGAUGCAUUUGCAUUAGCAAUGAGAGACAUCGAUUUUCAUCUGUAAAAUGGAGAUGGUUGCUCAUUGGCCCAGAGCUGAGGACUCAUCUGGAAAAUUCCUGGAGUAGCUGUUCUAGAAGAAGGUUUAAAUAUCUGAAGUGCACUGGGAAAAGACUGUCCUAGACUUUCUUGAUUCGUAAGGGAGAGACGCUGAAGUGCUGGGUUCCGAGUCAGCUGGGAAUACCUGCUUGGUGUUCAGAAGGCCUCUCAUUCGUGGUUGGCUUCAUGUCACACAGACGCUCUCCCCCUCUGCGUUCCUGCGUCCUAUGAAAUAUGGAUGCUGCAUUAAAAAGCAGGAGUCCCGGUGUAAUCAUUCCAUCCUACUACACACAUAAAGAUGACGCUCAAGAGCUCACGGGAAACAAAACACCAAUUCCAGGUGGCUGUGCUGAUAAGAUGUACUUGGCAUUACCAGGCCACAGAAGAAGACAAUGCAGC